AACGAACGCUGGCGGCGUGCCUAACACAUGCAAGUCGAGCGCGAAUGGAGCAAUCCUAGUAGAGCGGCGCACGGGUGCGUAACACGUGGGUAAUCUGCCUGGAAGACUGGAAUAACCUGCCGAAAGGCUGGCUAAUACCAGAUAAGCUUACGGAGACUUCGGUCUCUGCAAGAAAAGGUGGCCUCUGUAUACAAGCUAUCACUUCCAGAUGAGCCCGCGGCCCAUCAGCUAGUUGGCGGGGUAACGGCCCACCAAGGCAACGACGGGUAGCUGGUCUGAGAGGACGAUCAGCCACACUGGAACUGAGACACGGUCCAGACUCCUACGGGAGGCAGCAGUGGGGAAUUUUGCACAAUGGGCGAAAGCCUGAUGCAGCAACGCCGCGUGUGCGAUGAAGGUUUUCGGAUCGUAAAGCACUUUCGACCGGGACGAACACCCCUUGGCUAAUAUCCAAGGGCCUGACGGUACCGGGAGAAGAAGCACCGGCUAACUCUGUGC
RNAcentral lists this ribosomal RNA (498 nucleotides) under uncultured bacterium. RNAcentral's name for it is "bacterial SSU rRNA". It matches the Rfam family "Bacterial small subunit ribosomal RNA", at positions 29 to 508 of the family's 1533-position model. The record is from RNAcentral.